This 8550-nucleotide long non-coding RNA is filed under the name Homo sapiens (human). Its description in RNAcentral is "HSALNT0208890". The record is from RNAcentral. Lineage: Eukaryota; Metazoa; Chordata; Mammalia; Primates; Hominidae.
CCUUAUAGGUGGAGCAUACUUCCUCAAUCCACUGACCUGAAUCUUGACCAUGUGGCUUACAUUGUCCAGUGAAAUAUAAGGAGAAGUUCAGUGUGACAGUGAGGAGUGCAGACUUUCAGAUGCAAUGAGUGUUUCUUCUCGUUGUUCUGUGCUCCUGUCCUGCACCAUAAGAGCAUGUCCCAGGUCAUCAUGUUCUUUUGACCAGGCUCCUGGAAUGAGAGACGCUUGGAGCUGACCUGAACUGGACCUCUAGAAGCAGAGAUGCUGAGAACAUCUGCAGAUACAUGAUGGAUUGAGCAGUCCCUGAGUCAUAUACUCUACCAGAGAAUGAAUGAUGUCUGGUAAAUAAGAUGAUGAAUCUGACACAUAAAAGUACUGAGGGCCCAGUCAAGGCAAUAUCACUGGCUGUGAAAUGCUGAAGAGAAUCAGUUGAAAGAGAAAGAAGAAUGAAUUGGAAAAGCAAAUACUUCUGUGUUCUACUGUCAAAUGUGAUGCAUUCAAAUAAGGGAUGUUAUGACAGAAAAAACAAAUCUUCCUCAACUUGUCCACAUCAGUUCCAUUCCCUCAUUUAUAGGGAAGCUUGAGGAAUGUUUAGUGAAAUGCUGGCAAAUAGACUUCAAGAGAAAGUCUAAUUAGUAAUGUUUUUUCUUCUAAGGUAAGUAGAGAAAAAAAGGUAAUUAUGGAAACCCCAAGUUUCGUUCUCAAAUUUAAGCCCAACUUAAAUAUAGUUUAAGGUCUUUCUUCCUUUAAACUCACCACUCUUACUGCUUUUUGAUUUUGUGGUGGUUCAUCCAUAUUAAUGUACCUAAUGACAGGCACUCUGAAAAGGUGAGAAUGAAUUCUUUUCCUUUGACAUAUCAGCUGAGGAUGAUGUUACAAAGCAUGUCUUUCAAUGUGUAUCUGCAUGGACUCCGGGUCUGAGAGAAUGAUAUAUACUUCUACUUUAUGCCUGCAAGAUUCAAAAGGCCUUUUCAAAUAUUCAUGUCUUUUUCUUUUUCCUUUUUAUUCUCUGCUGGUAUGUGUUAUGUGAUGAGAAGAAUGUCAGAGUCUCUGGAGUCUUAUUUUUAAGUUUUAGGCUUGCCUGAGGGGGGAAAUAUAUUGGAAAUUUGCUGGUCAAGCUGUUCACAUUUUCUCAUAACAUGUCUAAUAAUUGCAAUGCAGUUUGUUCAAAUAAUUUAGUCAGGAUUUGCAUACUUAGCAUGAUUGACUCUGAAGUGAGUUAUUGGGCAGUGCCUGGCAUUCAAUCAGUAACACCUGAGGAGAACAUUGCCUUUGUGUUGCAACCAAGAAGAAGUUAAAAAAGGCACAGAGAUGAGGGAUCUUUUUUUUAUAAGGGGAAUUCUGAUCAUUCUUCUCUGAUCUUGUUUUCAACUUGUGUCUUAAUUUCUUCAUAUUUGAUGCCUCAAGUUAAUAGGAUUUGUAUUGCCAUAGGCACUAUUGCCAUUUCAUAUGCUGUAUUAGGGAAGCGGAGUUGCUGAUUAGAAAAGUGAUAAUGCAACUUCCUCUUCUUUCUAAAUUAACCUUGGAGUGGAAGGGAAAUGCAUUCAUGAUUUUGUUAUUAUACUCACUAGUAUUGGCGGUUGUUUGUCCUUUUUAUUUUCUGUGGUUUUGAAAACUUAACAUAUACAUCCAUGGAGUAUAUUACUUAGUGUCUUUUUCUUCCAUCACAUUUCUGGACUAACUUUUGAAAAAAUAUUUUGCUUUUAAUUUUCAUCAGCUUCUGAGGCUCAUCUAUCUCCAAAUCAACCAGGAAAAAAAAGUAGAAGAAAAUCACCAGCUGUUGGGAAAGUUAUUUAGAGGAUGUUAGCCAGAUUAAUCUUUACAUAAUAAUUAUGAAUUAGUAACGUUUCUCCUCCAUAAAAUCCACAUAUUUAGUGAGCUUCAGAGAACAUAGAAGAGGCAAGAGAAAAUGACAGUGAAGUGAUGUAUUAGCCAUGGCUCUCUAGAGGGACAAGACUAAUAAGAUAGACAUAUAUAUGAAAGGGAGUUUAUUAAGGAGUAUUGACUGACACAGUCACAAGGUGAAGUCCCACAAUAGGCCGUCUGCCAUCUGAGGACCAAGGAAGCCAGCCCAAGUCCCCAAACCUCAAAAGUAGGAAAACCAACAGUGCAGCCUUCAGCCUGUGGCCAAAGGCCCGGGAGACCCUGGUAAACCACUGUAUAGGUCCAAGAGUCCAAAAGCUGAAGAACCUGGAGUCCGAUAUUCAAGGGCAGGAAGCAUCCAGCAUGGGAGAAAGAUGAAGGCCGGAAGACUCAGCCAGUCUAGUCCUUCCACGUUCUGUCUGCUUUAUUCUAGCUAUUCUGGCAGCUGAUUAGAGAUCGUGCCCACCCAGUUUGAGGGUGGGUCUGCCUCUCCCAGUCCACUGACUCAAAUGUUAAUCUCCUUUGGCAACACCCUCAAAGACACACCCAGGGACAAUACUUUGCAUUCUUCAAUCCAAUUAAGUUGACAGUAUUAACCAUCACAAGUGCUUCAUCAUGUUAUAAUAAAACAGAAUUAUGGCUUCAAGGACCCGCAGUCUUUAAAACUACCCACACAAAAGAUAAAAGGGAACUAAAAUUAUAAUUUCCCAAGGAUUAACAGUAUAAGCUUCAUUCUAAGUGAAUUAAAUAAUUUGUCAAUUUCCUCUUCAUACUGAAAGUAACCAUACUAGGAUAUAACAUGUGUUGGAAAAGUGAUUACAAAUGACUCAAAUCAGUGCCCUAAAAUUUCAAACAAAUUCCCACUAUUGAUACAUAAGGAAUCCACAUUGGGAUUAGCAGUAUUAUUCACUUAUGCAAAAAUAUCUUUUGACAUGAGGUGAAAACAUAACCUCUGAACACAGUCAUUCUUUUAGGUUUUCAGUGGGAAUUGUGCCUAAGUGAUUAGGAAAGGAUAUGGUCCAAUAAAUAAACUGAAAAUUUUGUAACAAGUGGUAGAGUAAUACAUAUUAAUUCUGAACAGAUUGACACUGUAAUUUGGGAUAAAAACCAUAAUGAUUACAGAACACAGUCAGUGUAAGUCUGAUGGACUAGAACAGAUGUGUCCACCUGUUUAGGGUCCAGCUCUGCUUCACUUGGGCUGCAUAACACUAGCUAUUUGGAAAGGCAUACAGGUUAGGAAACAGAAAAUAUAUUGGAUUCUGGAUCAAUUUUUGUUCUUCUAUGUAACAAUUAACGUCAAAAAGACAGAGCACACCAAAGGCUAAAAUAAAAGAAAGUCUAGAGGAGAUGUAAACAUUAUUACAUGCCUUUCAUUGGAGAUAAUUUGGAAACCUUCAUAAAGAGAUUUUCAAGGUCAGGAGUGUGUAAUAGAUUCAAACUGUUUUUGUUUUUCUAACAUCAACAAAUCUUGUAUAAAUUAACUCAAUCGGAGUUUUUUUAAAAUGCUAAACUGAAGAAAGAUGGAAAGAGACUCCAAUAUUAUAAUGUUCAUGCCUAGGGGCACUCCAUAUAUCCAAUACCAAGUAAGACUAGGCUUUUGUGAAUAUUUAUCACUUGAAAUCAUGGGGAAAAUACUUUUUUCUUGACAGAAUAUGCCCCAGGUUUAAAGAUUAUACUGUACAUCAUUAAGGGGUAAUUUUAUUUUUUCUUAAGGUAGAAGGAGAUAUCAGUACUAUAAUAAUAAAUCUGCCUCUUUGUUAUAAGAAAAGUUUAAUGUGUGGUCAUAAACAUUGUUUGUUUUAAAGACAGAUUGUUAUAGAUGUAUUAUUAAAAAUAUCCAUCCUGUCUGUACUCUUUAUACUUUCUUACUUAAAUUUAUUAACAAAAUUGGGUAUAUGUGUGCCAUUCUUUCUCUGUUGUCUCUGCCAUCCUCUGGAUAUUUAGCCAAUCCUUAACCUAAAAAGCCUUUGUCAUUAUAAGGGUAAAACAUCAUUUUGUUAUAUCUUAAUAUAGAGAAACCAGUCUUCUAGCUCAUUUAUAAUCUUCAAAUGUGUUUGUUGGAGAUGUUUUGUAUUCGUUAAUUUAUUUGAUUUUUUGUAUAAUAAUUUCCCUCCAAAUAAGGUUUUCAAAUUUCAUAAUGAGAAGAACACAGGUUAGUUUAGAGUACUGUAGAUAUAUUCUUGUCAAAGAUAUCAACUGGGUAAAAUGCUAUCGGAAACAUCCAAGAAGUUUAAAAAGUUUUGUUGGCCAGGUGUGGUGGCUCAUGCCUGUAAUUCCAGCACUUUGGGAGGCCGAGGUGGGCAGAUAAUUUGAAGUCAGAAGUGUCAGACCAGCCUGGCCAACAUGGCGAAACCCCUUCUCUACUAAAAAUACAAACAUUAGCUGGGUGCAGUGGCAGGUGCCUGUAAUCCCAGCUACUUGGUAAGCUGAGGCAGGAGAAUUGCUUGAACCUGGGAGGCAGAGGUUGCAGUGAGCUGAGAUCACGCCACUGCACUCCGGCCUGGGUGACAAGAGUGAAACUCUGUCUCAAAAUAAAUAAACAAACAAACAAAUAAAAUAAAUAGAUAAAUAAAUAAAUAAAUAAAUAAAAUUUUGUCUUCCUUGCUUGCCAUUUCUUAUAAUCAGAAAAACUAGAGAAACAUCUUUCAACAUAGUCUAUAUGCAGUACCAGAUUUGACAGAAUUUGUAUUAUCCAAAAACUCUAGUGGGUAAAUGGCAUUAUAGUUUAUAAUGAGAAUAUUUUGUCAUACUCUUUGCACUCAAGGAAGUGUAAAAAUUUAACAGAUAUACAAAAAGGAAGAGAAAACUAAUAUAAAUAGAUGAGAGAUCUGCAAGUGUCCCAUCCAUUUAGAGGGCCAAAACAGUGAUUGAUUUCAGGGCAAUUAUGUAUUUGCUAUAAAUUCCUGUUUUGAGGUCAAAAAAUUAAAAGUGUUCAGAAAAAUUGAUGUAGUUUAUGCAAUUCUGGACAUAGUACAUUUUAUCUUAUCAGUGUUAUUUUAUAAUAUUCAGAGUAGAUAUAUUAAAAAUAAUAAAAUCAUGACCUAAUGACUACAUUACUGUGUAAUUACAGAUGCAACAUAUUAUAGUGGAUGACUAAAGACUUUUUAGAUUCUGUAGUUGUUUAAAUUCAGUAGUUUCAAAUUCUGACUGUGUAUCAGCUGGGAAACUUUUAAACAAUACUGAUGUCUUGGUGCCUAGCUCCCGUAUCCCCACCCUCCCACUCAUGGAUUGUCAUACAAUUGACCUGAGGUGGGGCCCAGGCAUUAAUUUUUUUUUUGAACUUUUAUUUUAAGUUCAUGGGUACAUGUACAGUUUCUUUACCUAGUUAAGCUUAUGUCAUGUGCAUCCAACAAAGGUCUAAUAUCCAGCAUCUGUAAGGAACUUAAACACAUUUUCAAGAAAAAACAAACAGCCCCAUAAAAAAGUGGGCAAAGACUUGAACAGGCAUUGAUUUUCUUUCUUUUUUUUUUUUAUUAUACUUUAAGUUCUAGGGUACAUGUGCACAACGUGCAGGUUUGUUACAUAGGUAUACAUGCGCCAUGUUGGUUUGCUGCACCCAUCAACUCGUCAUUUACAUUAGGUAUUUCUCCUAAUGCUAUCCCUCCCCUAGCCCCCCACCCCACGACAGGCCCCCGGUGUGUGAUGUUUGCUGCCCUGUGUCCAAGUGUUCUCAUUCUUCAGUUCCCACCUAUGAGUGAUAACAUGCAGUGUUUGGUUUUCUGUCCUUGUGAUAGUUUGCUGAGAAUGAUGGUUUUCAGCUUCAUCCAUGUCCCUGUAAAGGACAUGGACUCAUCCUUUUUUAUGGCUGCAUAGUAUUCCAUGGUGUAUAUGUGAAAUAUUUUCUUUAUCCAGUUUAUCAUUGAUGGGCAUUUGGGUUGGUUCCAAGUCUUUGCUAUUGUGAAUAGUGCCACAAUAAAUAUACGUGUGCAUGUGUCUUUAUAGUAGCAAGAUUUAUAAUCCUUUGGGUAUAUACCCAGUAAUGGGAUGGCUGGGUCAAAUGGUAUUUCUAGUUCUAGAUCCUUGAGGAAUCGCCACACUGUGGUUGAACUAAUUUACACUCCCAUCAACAGUGUAAAAGUGUUCCUAUUUCUCCACAUCCUCUCCAGCACCUGUUGUUUCCUGACUUUUUAAUGAUCACCAUUCUAACUGGUGUGAGAUGGUAUCUCACUGUGGUUUUGAUUUGCAUUUCUCUGAUGGCCAGUGAUGAUGAGCAUUUUUUCAUGUGUCUGUGGGCUGCAUAAAUGUCUUCUUUUGAGAAAUGUCUGUUCAUAUCCUUUGCCCACUUUUUGAUGGGGUUGUUUGCCUUUUUUGUAAAUUUGUUUAAGUUCUUUGUAGAUUCUGGAUAUUAGCCCUUUGUCAGAUGGGUAGACUGCAAAAAUUUUCUCCCAUUCUGUAGGUGAACAGGCAUUGAUUUUCUAAGAGCUCUUUUGGUCAUUACAUUGUGAAGCCAGGGUUGAGAAAUAAUUAUCUUCAUUUUUCUGUUCCUAAAUUGGGUUAACUGGAGCCAUUUCUCCUUAUAUCGAUGAGAUCUUAUGAGAAACAGUUAAUAAAAUAUCUUCACAUACAUUUGUGUAACAUUUUAUGGUUGUCAAAAAGAGUUUCAAAUCUAUUGGAGGUACACUAGGUAAUUAAAGACUACAACAGAGGUAAAUACGUUUUUUGGAAAGAUCACUUGUCUAAAUCUUGGUGGUGUCAGUGAAUACUUCCUGGGGAAAGAGACUACAAAUCUUUGGCAUGAAAUGCAAAUUGGGGUUCAAGGUUAAUCUGUGCAGAAACGCAUGUCAGUAUUCCAUUCCUUUUUAUGGUCAAAUAAUAUUCCAUGGUAUGAAUAAUCCACAAGAAUUUAGUCACAGAAAACCACAUAUUAUAUGAUUCCACUUAUAUGAAAUAUCUGGAAGAGACAAAUCUAUAGAGACAGAAAGUUGAUUAACAGUUGCAUAGAACUGGGCUGUAAGGGGUAUGGGGAGAUUGGUAAGUAACAGCUAAUGAGUACAGAGUUUCACUUUGUAGUGAUUACGAAGUUCUAAAAGUGAUGGUUGAACUUAUCUGUAAAUAUACUAAAAACCAUUGAAUUAUGCAGUUUAAAUGGGCAAAUUAUACAUCCUGUGAAAUAUAUCUCAAUAAAGUUGUUCUGAAAAACAAGUAGGCUUGCAAGACCAGAUGAGUGAGAGCACUGUAUCUGGAGGGAGAAAUCUCAGAAAGCAAGGAGAGUUUAGAAACUGGUAAGUAGCUCCAGAUGGCUGGCACAUAGGGUUAGAGAAGGGUCCCAGAGGUGGUUAGAAGUGAAGCUAAAUAAAACAAAUGGGUCUGAUCAUGAAAGAUAUGUUUAGCCUUUAAAUUUUUAAAAGUUGUGGUAAAAUAUAUACAACAUUUAUCGUCUUAACCAUUUUUAGUGGGUAGUUCAGUAGUGUUAAAUAUAUUCACAUUAUCGUGCAAUCCAAUAUCUGGAACUGUUUUAUCUCACAAUACUGAAACUCUAUGUCUGUUAAAUAACAAUUCCCCAUCUCCUCCUGCCCUAGCCCCAGGGAAGUAUGGUGACUAUAUAUCAUCAAAUAAAAAAUGUCAACAAAGAGACAGAAAUUGUUAGAAAGAACCAAGUGAAAGUUUUGAAAUUGAAAAGUGAAAUAAGAGUGAUUAGAAAAUCACUAGAUGACCUCAAUAGUAGGUUUUAGCAUUAAAGAAAUAAUUAGUGAAUUUGAGGAUAAAUGAUUAGAAAUGAGGCCAUGUGAGUAGGAGAGAGAAAAAACAAUGAAAACUUGUUCACAGAGACACAAUCAUUCUACCAUAAAGACAUAUGCACACGUAUGUUCAUGACAGCACUAUUCACCAUAGAAAAGACAGAGAAUCAACCUAAAUGCCCAUCAGUGGUAGAUUGGAUAAAGAAAAGGUAGUACAUAUACAGCAUGGUAUAAUAUGCAGCCAAAGAAAUGAAUGAGAUCAUGUCCUUUGCAGCAACAUGAAGGAGCUAGAGGUCAUUAUUCCAAGUGAACUAACAUAGGAACAGUAAACCAAAUGCUGCAUGUUCUCACUUGUAAUUGCAAGCUAAACACUGAGUACAUAUGGACACAAAGAAGGGAACAACAGACAGUGGGGCCUUCUUGAGGGUGGAUGCUGGGAGAAAGGUGAGGAUCGAAAAACUACCUAUCAAUCAGGUUACUAUGCUCAUCACUUGGGUAAUGAUCUGUACAGCAAACCCUUGUGAUGCACAAUUGACCUGUAUAACAAACCUGCACAUGUACUCCUGAACCUAAAAUAGAAGUUAAAAAAUAAAGAAGAAAUUUGCAAAAAACCCACCAGAGACUCAGAGAAAUGUGGGAUGGACCAUUAAGUCCAUCCAUAUAUGCGUAAUGAGAGUACCAAAAGAGAGAGCAUGAAAGGGACAGAAGAAAACAUUCUAUGAAAAAAAUGGCUAAAAACUUCCUGAAUGUGAGGAAAACUAGUAAUUUACAUAUCCAAGAAGCUAAAUAACUCCAAGCAGAAUAAAUGCAAAAAACAAAAUCAUAACUAUAUACACUGCAGCCAAAAUAUUAAAAGUCAAAAAGAAAGAGAAUAUCUUUAAAGCUCUAAGAGAAAAACAACUCAUCAUGUACAGGAAAAUCACAAUAAGAUUAAUAGUAAAUUCUUCUGAAAAUAAUAGAGGCCAGAGGCAAUGAGAUGACAAAGUGAUGAAGUUAAAACAAAAUAAAA